This 402-nucleotide ribosomal RNA is filed under the name uncultured bacterium. RNAcentral's name for it is "bacterial SSU rRNA". It matches the Rfam family "Bacterial small subunit ribosomal RNA", at positions 30 to 431 of the family's 1533-position model. The record is from RNAcentral.
AUUGAACGCUGGCGGCAUGCCUUACACAUGCAAGUCGAACGGCAGCACGGGAGCUUGCUCCUGGUGGCGAGUGGCGAACGGGUGAGUAAUACAUCGGAACGUACCCUGAAGUGGGGGAUAACGUAGCGAAAGUUACGCUAAUACCGCAUACGAUCUACGGAUGAAAGCGGGGGAUCGCAAGACCUCGCGCGAUUGGAGCGGCCGAUGGCAGAUUAGGUAGUUGGUGGGGUAAAGGCUCACCAAGCCGACGAUCUGUAGCUGGUCUGAGAGGACGACCAGCCACACUGGGACUGAGACACGGCCCAGACUCCUACGGGAGGCAGCAGUGGGGAAUUUUGGACAAUGGGCGCAAGCCUGAUCCAGCCAUUCCGCGUGCAGGAUGAAGGCCUUCGGGUUGUAACU